CAGCCGCCACGGUAAUACGAAGGGGGCUAGCGUUGCUCGGAAUGACUGGGCGUAAAGGGCGCGUAGGCGGCGAUCAAAGUCAGGCGUGAAAUUCCUGGGCUCAACCUGGGGGCUGCGUUUGAUACUUGAUUGCUAGAGUGGGGAAGAGGGUCGUGGAAUUCCCAGUGUAGAGGUGAAAUUCGUAGAUAUUGGAAGGAACACCUGUGGCGAAAGCGGCUCACUGGACCAUUUCUGACGCUGAUGCACGAAAGCUAGGGGAGCAAACAGGAUUAGAUACCCGAGUAGUCCCUGUCUCUUAUAA
RNAcentral lists this ribosomal RNA (301 nucleotides) under uncultured bacterium. Its description in RNAcentral is "partial 16S ribosomal RNA". It matches the Rfam family "Bacterial small subunit ribosomal RNA", at positions 509 to 809 of the family's 1533-position model. The record is from RNAcentral.